Molecule: ribosomal RNA, 253 nt
Filed under: uncultured bacterium
Lineage: Bacteria
Description: partial 16S ribosomal RNA
Rfam family: Bacterial small subunit ribosomal RNA
Source: RNAcentral
UACGUAGGUGACGAGCGUUAUCCGGAAUUACUGGGCGUAAAGCGCACGCAAGCGGUUGGACAAGUUUGGCGUGAAAUCCUCUGGCUUAACCAGGGGCGGUCGCUGGAGACUGUUCGGCUUGAGGCGAUGAGAGGGGUGCAGAAUUCCCGGUGUAGUGGUGGAAUGCGUAGAGAUCGGGAGGAAUACCAGUGGCGAAAGCGGCACCCUGGCGUCGUACUGACGCACAUGUGCGAAAGCGUGGGGAGCAAACAGG